UCCGCUAUUCUCUAGAGAGUGCAGAAGAGAAGGGUGCUGACCAACAGAACAACUGGAAAUGUUUCAGCUAUAUAAAAAAUACACUUUGUUGCCUGACAGCAUAAUACACAGGCGUUCAAAAGCAUAUAUGAAAAUCAGAGGCCUUCUUAUAUAAGCAUGUUCGGCUGACAGCAGACUGUUCUCUAUUAUGGCCAAGAGAAGUUGCCUAGUGAUAUGUUUCUGGAGCAUUAAAUAGUCAACAGAUAAUUAUCCAGUAGCUGCCACGUACAGCUCAGCAUGGGGGACAGGCCAGACCUACACAUCCAUUUCCAGGAGUCAAGACACGGCAGGAUGGUGCACCCCAAGGCCUGUUGGAGGUGAGCAAGAACUCAGGGGUGCAGAGGCCAAGAGUUCAGUGGUUUGGUGGCUGGAGGAUGGAGAAAACGUUACGGCGACGAUCACACUUAAAUUGUCCGUCAGAGCAGUCAGCCGACACUCUUCAGUUUGGAGCGGCCGGUUUUUAAUUUUAUCUCUCGCACUCUGAACACCCGGAGUCCUGCGUCCAAAACGAACUCAAACAUCAAAGGAAACAUCAAGAAACAUCAGUUACCAAGUAUCAUAACAAAAACCACAACAUUAUCAAUUCAUAAGAUCCCGUUGAUUUGCAGAGUGAGCAGCUUAGAAGGGAGGAAUAUUGUUUCACUCUGUAACCCAGGCAGCAUCCUCCUCUUGUUGUACAGUAAUGAUACCAUCUCCUUCUGGGAGGAGAGGACAGGCAUACCUACUCCCAGUUACGGAAGGUUCCAGUUUCCUAAACUCAGCCUUCCGCUCCUGAAACACAAGCCACUCUGUGUGCAAGUGUCACCUUGCCUCUUCACAUGACCCUUUGGAACUGGAAAGCUAGCACAGAUGUUCUGAUGCUGUAGUGAGCAACAAACCAUUCUUGGUCUCUACGUUUGGACUCCUCGGUGAGCUCCCAGCACCCAUGCAGCUGUGGCCAACUUGUUACCUUGGAAGCCAGGUGACAACUUCGACCCUUGUACUUGUCAGCACGGCUCUGCACUUCGAUAGAUUAAUCCAGUCUUAUAUUCUCAAAACUAAAAUCAUCUGUAGUAUCAUGUUGAGGUGGGAUAAUUCCUGCCCCAAUAUUUAAUGU
Molecule: long non-coding RNA, 1135 nt
Organism: Zalophus californianus (California sea lion)
Lineage: Eukaryota; Metazoa; Chordata; Mammalia; Carnivora; Otariidae
Exons: 3
Source: RefSeq, a predicted model, not a curated record